This 646-nucleotide long non-coding RNA is filed under the name Citrus sinensis (sweet orange). Its description in RNAcentral is "long non-coding RNA (CSIN_LNC004646)". The record is from RNAcentral. Lineage: Eukaryota; Viridiplantae; Streptophyta; Magnoliopsida; Sapindales; Rutaceae.
AUUCAUUAAAAGACAAGCGACUGGGGAACCAAACCCAUGACGCAAAAUAGUUUGACCCAAUUACUUAAUUACUUAUUUCUGAAUAGAAAUCGACACAAGGCCCGAUGCCUAUUUCAUGGCUUUAUACGGGCCAGGACAAAUAAGAAAAAUUAGUGACGAAAAAACAUAAAAAUUUCAGAGCAAGUGGUACAACAGUGAAAUCAACAUGCAACAAAGAUGCAAAUUUUGCAAACGAUUUUCUAUAUGAUCAAUUUUUUUCUCUUAUUGAUGCCAUGAUACAAACCAUACAUUCAAGAAUACAGAAAUUUGAUACUAAUUAUGCCAUAAAUCUUUCGCAUGGUCCUUUAUUCUUCAGCCCAGGUUACUGCCACUGGGCGUCUCCUUUCAAGAAUUGGUGUUUACAGUUUCUUUUCUAAGCACAAAGUGGGAAUAUAUUAAUCUAAGUCCAUAUUUCUUCUGUAUUCUUGUUGUGAAAAUUUUAAUAUACUCGCAAGCGCACGAAUCUAGAGAUAGAAAAGUGGUAACGAGGUCGAUCCCACAGGGAUUGUUAUAAAUUGAAAAGUCUAAUUUAAAUCUAAAAUUAAUAUUAAUUCUAACCUAGUUGAGCAAAUUGAGUUUUAAGAGAAAUUAAACUAAUUAAACUAAG